AUAUAUAUACACACACACAUACAUAUACAUAGAGAGAGAGAGAGACACUAACAUUUUACUCUGUGUACUAAAUGCAUGUUUGGCUGUCUCACAUUGUAAUAUACCAUCAUUGCUUUGCUUUAUUGUCUGGAUUUCUAUGCAAGCAUGGGUGAACUGGAAAUCAUUGUGAUAGAUUCUCUAUGGCCAGAUGUCUGUCCUGUCACCAGCCCUCACCCGGUUAUAUUACCCAUGACCAGAAUUAUUUUCAUGGAUGGUUAGAAAUGAACAGCACUACUUGUGUAGUGGUGACACUUGUUUACAGCUAUGAAGCACUGUCAAGACAAGGACACACACACACACACACACAACACACACACACACACACACACACAUGUACUACUGGUUUCUUUCUGUUUCUGUCUACUAUAUCUAUUCACAAGGCUUUCAUUGGCUUAAGGCUGUAUUUGAAGACUCUUUUCCAAGGUGCUAUGUGGUGGAACUGAACUCAAAGCCAUAUAGAUGGAAAGCAAACUUCUUGAUCACAUGCCAUGCCUAAGCCAAGUGAGUUGAAAAAAAUUUCACUUAACUUUGAUUAUCUUUGCAAUUAGGAGACAAAAACUCUAUCUGAAGUAAUUUUAGCUACAUGAAGUGUUUAUUUUUUUUUUGUCUUUUAGUUACAAAUUAUUGUAAGUGCUGGUGCACCCAGUACAGUAAAUUCUAUAAAGUGGUUGGUGUUAGUGAGGGCAUCCAGCCUUAGAAACCAUGCCAUAGCAGACACUGGAACUUGAUGCAGUCCUGUUGAAUUGUCCAGCCCAUACCUCAGUAGAAGAAGGAGGUUAAGUGGUGAAAGUGGUGAAGACAAAGGAAGAGCUAUGUCAGAGGGAUUGAGUGACAGGACCCAUUGGUAGGGUUGGUCGGUCUCCCUACCAUGCCAGCAAGGGUUGGAUAGCUCAUCAUGAUCCAAGACAGUUGUUAUUGGAGUUUCUCAGGUCUUCUUAUUGAGAGAGGUGGUGGAGAGCUUAAUAUAUAUUGUGAAAGUGCAUGGUUCAGUGGUUAAAGCAUUGGGCUCACAAUCAUGAGGUAAUGAGUUUGAUUCAGGAACCAGGCUCUGUAUUGUGUUCUCGAGCAAGACAUUUUAUUUCAAGUUGUUCUAGUUCACUCAGCUGUAGAAGUGAGUUGCAGCAUCACUGGUGCCAAACUGUAUCAGCCUUUGCCUUUCCUUUGGAUAACAUCAGUGACAUGGAAAGGGAGGUUGAUAUGCAUGGGUAACUGCUGGUCUUCCAUAAACAACCUAACCCAGACUUGUGUCUCUGAGGGGAACUUUCUAGGUACAUCCUAUGGUCAUUUGGGGUCUUUACAGUUUUUUGUUUUUUUUACAGGUGGUAAGAGAGCAUUUUAGGGAAGGGGUAAUAGGAGUAAAAGUGAAAAGUAGUUUCGGGGCUUAGUGAGAGAGAAUGUCUUUUAGGCUAUACUUCAUUUUAUUAUUCAUAACUUAUAUGCAGAGGUGGUAUGUAUUCAGUUUUGAUUAUUUACUUAUUCACAUUUUGAAGUCUAUUGAUAUUAUUGUUGAUGCAAUUGUGAUUAACAAGCAGUUUAUUAAAUAUUAUGUUUAAAUAUAUUUUAAAAGUUAAUAUUUAAAUUGUAAACAAAACAAAAAAAAAACUGUACAAAUACAUCUACAUCAACAAUAACCCUGCCUGCCACCUUUCUUCCCAGUGUUCAUUUAAAAUUUUUCGUUGCCCUUCUUCCCUAGGGGCAGUACAGCCCAUUUUGAAAAAAGCCGUUAGACCUUCUCAAAGAAGCAUAUUCAGCUCAGUUAGUAAGACUAAGAGAUAAUCUCCAAUCUGUGAAGUGAUACAAUGAUAGUACCAUGUCAAAGCAGAUAUUCAGUGCAGCCCUCUGGUUUGCAAGUUUCUGUUGAAUUAUCUAACCCAUGCCAGCAUGGAAAAAUGGCUGUUAAAUGGUAAUGAUGAUGAUAUAUAAAACAAAAGCGGUGAUGCUGGUUAUGAUUAUCAACAAUAGGGAAGGCAGGGAAAUACCCCAGGAGACUGUGUUACUUAUGUGAGACUCUACCAUAUGAAUAUUUAGUAUGUACAUUGCCAUAUAUGUGUGUGUGUGUAUAAAUAUGUAUAUAUCUAUGAACUAGCAGCUUUAUCAAGCAUUGUCUUCAUCUAUAGACAGGAUCUGACAUAAUGACCCUCUCCUUGAAAAGAUGCAAUCCUAUGCAAAACUUUAGCUACCCAAAUGCAAAACUGCCGUCUACAACUUAAAAUGCAUAUACAUAUAUUUGCUUUUAUGUAAGUAUGUAUAUGAAUAUCUGUGAAAGUAUAUAUUUAUGUGUUAAGAUACAAUCAUCUAUGAUAAUAUAUGUGUGUGUGCAUACACAUAUAGAUACGCACACACAUUAAUAAUGUGUUGUGCAUGUUGCUAUAUAUAUGUAUAUGCUCAGGUCUGUUAUUCCCCAAAACAAUAACUCCUCUAUUUCCUUCAUUUUAAUAAUUCUAUCCACUGUUAUUUCCCCCUGUAACAUGGGCACUGAUUUCCUUGUCACUAUGUCCUAUGUUUUAAUUAACAUGUUCUCUUACUUAAAAUGUUAAUUAACCACACAUUACUCAUCUAUUCUCCGCUUUCUCCUACAGUUAAACAGCCACAUGGAUGUAUUUUUUCUUUGAUUUCAUUAUUUCUUAUUGUUAUUGUCAUUUCCUCGCCAUUCUGAACUAUUUCUUUAACUAUUUAUUGAUUGUAUUUAUUGAUUUGAUUUUAAUGAGUUGAAAGAAAAAAAAAACAUUGUAAUUUAUCUGUUAACCUAAGAAGACAAUUAUGAUAAUAAAAUAUUCUAUUGUC
This 2823-nucleotide long non-coding RNA is filed under the name Octopus sinensis (East Asian common octopus). RNAcentral's name for it is "uncharacterized LOC118763875". Lineage: Eukaryota; Metazoa; Mollusca; Cephalopoda; Octopoda; Octopodidae. The record is from RNAcentral.